AGGAUCACUUGCUAUUAAAUAGUGUAGAUUCAUGAAGUGAUUGUUAUCAGAUGAUAUUAAAAUGUGUGUAACUUUUUCAUUCUGGAUACAGCUGGAAAAAUUGAUUACAGAUAAACUGUGCCUGCCACCCAUGCCUUCCCCUGGGACUUCAUCUGCUGCAAUUCUACCAACGUGCUGCUGUCUCCCUAACAGGAAAAGCUCAUGUAUGAACAGUGCUGUUGUAAUAUAUUAAGAGUAGUGGGAAAGGCCGUGGAAGUGAGCCAUAAAUCUGGAGGCCUCCAACGUGACUGGGCCUGCUCACUGACUCCAAGCAUCCAAAGCAAGAGAACUAGAUAACCUCUCAGAGUUCCUCCCAACUCUAACAAUUCUACAACAAAUAGGAAAGGAGAGAGAUCAUUUGCCAAGAAUCAACCUCACCUGCUGCAAAUCUGAGUGGAAACCUGUGGGGCAAAGAAAGACAACAACAGAGCCUUUCCCCAGGAUGCAAACACCAUAGAACAGGACAAUAAAAUAAGAACUGACUUACCUCCUUCCAGUGACCAGCAACAGCUCAAAAGGAGUGCAGCCUCCAACAGAUGCAGCUCCUUCGGCUUCUAGUCCUUAAAUGAGUGAGAGGUGGAUCUAAGCUUCACCCAUAUCAAUCACUCAGGUACAUUGAUUGCACCUGAACAACCUGGGUUAGCCAUAGCUGGUGCUCAGCCAUUGCUUCAGGCCCUGACCUGUCAAUUCUACUGCAGAGCCAUUCAGCUGCUGCAUACAGCCCUCCUUCUGACACAACAGGGGCAUUGGACCUAUGUGCAAACCCUACGCUGUUUUCCUAUUAGUCCUUAGGCCACAAAACAUCACAAACAUCCCUUGGAUGCUCAAAAUGUGGUAACUUGGAUAUUAGGAAGAAUUUAUUCUCAGAAAGAGCAGUGAUGCAUUGCCACAGACUGCCCAGCAAGGUGGUGGGAGGUGUUUAAGGAAAGAGUAGAUGUGGCACUGAGGGACGUGGCCCAGUGGGCAGUGUUAGUGGUAGGUGGGUGGUUGGAUGUUAGAGGUCUUUUCCAACCUUAAUGAUUCUAUGAUUCUAAGAUUCCGAGGCUACGGAAAUUGUUUAGCAGGAGAGCAAUGCUGUUGGGAGAAAAAUACAAACACAUUAAUGACAUUCAGCCAAAGGAUUAUCAAAGGCAAGGAACCCAGGGCACUUAUUUAGGAAAUUAUUCAAGGAGGAGACUCUAAGGGAUGUGAAUUCGUGGUUUCCUUCCUGCGUAAUACAGGAGAGCACAGGAAGGCAGCCCUUGAAUUCAUGGGUCAUAACCCUAUCUACCGAACAGCUUGAGUACGAUCAGUUUAAAAUGAGUCUCAGUGCUCUUCUGCUUUUCCCAAGAGCACAGAAAAAUUAAUCUACCACUGAAGUUUCUCUCUGUCUCAAGCUGUAAAAUACAAGUUUGUGCCGAUAAUUAUUUUGACAGCCGUCACACGUGCCUGUUGUGAAGGAUCAGCACAGACAGUUUCCAAUAUGAUGUGAACCUGUGGUAAUGGCUAAUUAGAAUGCAUUACACAGUCAGUCCCUACAGUUCUCUGUUCCUUAAGAAAAUCUGCAUUUCGGAAGAGAGCCUUAUAUUGGAUAUAUAGGGACAAAGUUGCCUGCAGAUUUCCAUUGUGCUACGCCAUACCCAUUUGUACCAAAGCAUUUUCUUCCGUAGCUCACCAAAUAUAGCAGCUUUCUUCAACACGGGAACAAGACUCAGAAAAGGCUUUGUCCUCGUUCUCCUUAUAGACAAGCAGGUACAAAAAUACCAAGCAAUACGUAGCAGGAGCAGAAGUGUUAGAGGUUACCUAAGGAAUUUCGUACAAUGCUACUUUGACGUCAGAGUUGUCUCAAAUACUACCUGCUGUCAGUGUAAUAUCUAGAGGGUGAGUAAAUCUGUUUCUCACACAGACUUCUCAAAACCAGACUCAGAAUGAGUUAGAAGCUUUUGAAUAGGACUCUGAUUUCUAAGUCACGUAAGUAUUUGCAAUGUUACCCAGAAUCAGGUUGCACGUGCAGACUAGUUUUAAGCAGCACAAACAUAUUCACAUUCUUCUGUGCUGGAGGUAUUAAUCCACAUAUGGAUAUUCAAUUACUAUCAGAGCAAACCAUUCACGUGCACUAGAAUCAGAUAAAAAUAUGCAAAGCAGGUGGCUUGAGGCUCAUUUGUACUGAAAUUCCUUCGGCUGUUUGAAGAGACUUUGUAAUGUCAGCAUACUCCCACCUGAGUACAUUCUUUACUGUGAGCAGAGUAAAGUGGCCUUCUUGUAUGUGAAAGUUAGAUCUGAAUAUGUUCGCUUCAAGGAUACAGGAUUUUUGUUUCAAGAUAAAAAUGACCAAAUAGGUAAAAUAACCUAAUUAUUGCCUUUCUUUCAAGGACUCAAGGAACUUAUACAGUGAGAAUCUGUGAAAAAUAAAUGGAAACCUGGAUUCUACUUCUCUAAUUUUCUCCUGCUCAUCUUUUAUCCUUUCUUUCUUUUUCUUCCUCAACUCCGUAUUAUCAUUCCUGCUGUCCUUAUCAGCAUUAUUGCUUUUGUUGGCCUCCAGUUCGGAGUCCUGCCACCCCGGCACCAUUUCAUCUCUCCAGAUGCAGAGUGGGGGUUUAGGAUAAAAUCUCAUCCUUUGGGAGUCCAUGGAGAUGCAUGGGAAAAAAAAUAAAAAAGCAGAUAAGAACAGUAAGUCUAUAAAUCUCUACGUCUAUAAAUCUUAAAAUGGAUUACUGAUUACAGUGACUCUUUAAUGGAAAGAGUGACAGCUCAUGUAGACAAAAGGCAGUGUAAUUCAUGGAGGCUAUUAAAUUUGAGAGGCCUUUUCAUUCUCAUUUGUCUUUCGAUGUUAUGUGUCGAUUUCUGGGAGAUUAUUCUCUGGGGAGGAUGAGCCCUACUCAUCAGAGCCUGAAAAGUGCCUGUGUUUAUUUGUCUGCUAUUUGCCAUGGUAGGCAAUAUGUUUGCUCCUCCUGCACCAGGAUGGACAACCCACAGUGCUAGUGGAGGCUAUGAGAGGGCGCCCAUCUGUCCUGUCCUGCUUGUUGUUUGUGAGAUCAUGCUGGAUACACCCACUGGGCUUUGGGGUUCAAAGGGGCCAAAACCCCAUCACAGGACAGCAGAACAGAUGCAGCCAAUCUCUCCAUGUCUGUGAUCAUCUGGAAUGUGCUGUGUCCAGACACCCCUCAUAGCAUGGCACAAAUAUCGUAGGACAGGAAUCACCCUUAUGGCAUGGGACACGGUGGUGGUGCUUUGUUCUAGGGGCUCCUCUGCUAGUGGGUUUGCAAUGGAACCAAGGUCUUGGAUAAUGGUCAUGGAUGGACCAUACUAUGGUCGAGGAACUGGUGGCGAGAUAGUACCCAGAAUGUAGUGGUCAAUGGCUCAAUGUCUGGGUGGAGAUCAGCGAUUAGUGGAGUUCCCUGGAGGUCGUUACUGGGACCAAUGCUCUUUAAUAUCUUCAUCAGUGACAUCAACAAUGGGAUUGAGCACACUCUUAGCAAGUUUGUGGAUCACACCAAGCUGUGUGAUGUGGUCAACAUGCGCGAGGGACAGGAUGCCACCAGAGAGGCCUAGACAGGCCUCUGAGAGUGGUCUCUCAGUACCUAAAAGGCCUAUAAGCAAGAGAAGGUCAGACUCUUUAGCGGGGUCUGUUGUGAUAGGAAAAUGGGAAAUGGUUUCAAAAUAAAAGAGAGGAGGUUUAGAUUAGAUGCAAGGAAAAAGUUUUGGUGAUAAAGGUGGUGAAGCACUGGAAAAGGCUGCCCAGGGAAGUUGUGGAUGCCCCAUCGCUGGAUGGGCCUCUGUGCAGCCUGAUCUAGUGGUUGGCAACUCUGUCUGUGACACGGGUGUUGGAACUAGAUGAUCUUUAAGAUCCCUUCCAGUCUAAGCCAUUCUAUGAGCCUAUGGUUCUAUGAGACUUUGAGCUGCUACUGACCAGCAAAAAAACAGCCUGAGUUUUUUAAAUGCUCAUUCAUCAGAGUAAGAGUGUAGAACAGCAAGUGGGCACCGGGGGAGUUUACAUCCCAAAGCACUCCCUUUGCCAAGGUUGCGUUCCUUCAUUUUGAUCACAGAUUACAGAGCUAGAGUGCAAUGGUUUCCCAUGGGAAACCAGGGGCCAGCGGAGUUUCAUCAAGAAACAAGUUACUGCUGGGGCUGGGAGCAGGAUGCUUUCACUCCACAGCGCAGGAGGAUUUACUGUAACACAAACCCUUCAUGCAGGUGAUUGACUGCUACUGCUACCCGCGACAGCCUGAAAUCUGCUGCCUUUGUGUCCUUACUGUUAGUACAAUUGUUCAUUCAUGGACCAAGAGACUCCCAGCGCAUCCAAUUCCAGCCAGGCAAAGUGGCUGCGAUCCUCGUCAAAAAUCAAUUGACUGAAGUCAGACCCCACAUCUCCGGUUGCUAAGGACAGGCAAAUCCACAUUGCUCAUGCUUAGACCAGUGGUGCAGAACAUCACUUAGUGCUCACAGCUGCCUUAUGGCAACAGAGGUGGAAGAGAAGCUGCAGAGACAUGAGGAGCAGGAUCCUGUGCUGCCUGGGAGUCCUGAACGUGUGGAUGGGAAGUAACCUUGAGAGGGGGUCUGUUCCUUGACCAUGUGUUGAAAAUGCCCAUUCAGUUCUGGAGGAAAGUAUUGUCUGUUUACUUAUUUAUGCAGUUAAAAAGAUUGAGGACAUUGCUGUCAACCUCCAGGGCUCUGAAUCCAUACCCUGUCACCUUUAUCAGGUGCCCUAGUGCCCUAAAUUACUAGCUAGCUGCACUUAGCCCUGGUUGACCAUUGCAGCAGCCCCACAGGAAUAAAGACACACUCUUUUCCAAGUGUGUAUGCAGCCCACGUUAGUUUUGGUGACCUAAAAUUGCUGCCUUUCCCUCUACAGAGAGGAUGGAUUGGUCUCAUACUCCUCACUGCUGCCUGGAACCUUUGUCGCAAUGCCCCAUUGCAUCUUGGCAGCCUCACUGUUGUUUUGGGGAUGAGUCACAGGAGACUGAGCUAUCUGGUCAGAAAGGCUCAGUUUCGGUGCUGAGUCACUGCAAAGACAUUGUGGGCAGCUCGGGGCUGUGUUUGUGUUAUGCCUCCCGUUUCACAAAGGACAUUUGCUUAUUUUUGCUUGUCUAAAAGGUCACGCAUCCACGUGCAUUUACUUACUGGUGUUCCUCCAGCACAUCUGGACGAGGAUGGUGUGGCCGCUUUGUGGUCCUCACUACGUAACACGAAGUCUUCAUUGUGGUGCAUCACCCUCAUCUUCACUGUGGCUGCCUCCAGCCUGGCUCUGUCUCCAAGGCAGAUUCCAUUUCUUUUUUCUUUUUUUUCCAAAUAAAACCAAUAUUGCUAUUGCUAUGUAUUAUUUAUGCUGCGGAAAACAUUGAGAGGAAGAAAUGGGAAAAAUUAGCUCAUUCUUUCUAGAAUCUGCAAGCAGCUGAAAGACAAAGAAUAUAGAAUUAACAAAAAAAACAAAAAAACCCAACAACCUCAGCUAAUUUUGGAAAGUUUCGUCUUCACAAGAUCCACUCAUUUCAUAGCUAAUUCUUUGUAAACCGUUAUUCCUUUUGUUCCAAGUUUGGUAUAGUUUUACAUCAAGCCAAGUUCAAUGAAAGAAGAAAAAGGAGAGAUGGUUUGAAUUAUUCCCCAUCCCCUCACCCCACAAGAAAAAACUUGGGUUUGAAGAUCACAUUUUAAUAUGCAAGAAUCCAUCCAAGGACGCCCUUGCUAAUCUUUCAGAAUGCAGCAUUGUGCUCCUUCAAAGUAUUGAAAGCUGCUUGGAUUGUGAUUGAAUGCAUAACCCUGUAUUAAACUUCUAAUGGC
Molecule: long non-coding RNA, 5796 nt
Filed under: Gallus gallus (chicken)
Lineage: Eukaryota; Metazoa; Chordata; Aves; Galliformes; Phasianidae
Description: lncRNA (ENSGALG00010020454.1)
Source: RNAcentral